Molecule: ribosomal RNA, 239 nt
Filed under: uncultured Lactobacillus sp.
Lineage: Bacteria; Bacillati; Bacillota; Bacilli; Lactobacillales; Lactobacillaceae
Description: partial 16S ribosomal RNA
Rfam family: Bacterial small subunit ribosomal RNA
Source: RNAcentral
CCGUAGCCCAAGAGAUCGGGAUAACACCUGGAAACAGAUGCUAAUACCGGAUAACAACAGAUGAUGCCUAUCAACUGUUUAAAAGAUGGUUCUGCUAUCACUCUUGGAUGGACCUGCGGUGCAUUAGCUAGUUGGUAGGGCAACGGCCUACCAAGGCGAUGAUGCAUAGCCGAGUUGAGAGACUGAUCGGCCACAUUGGGACUGAGACACGGCCCAAACUCCUACGGGAGGCAGCAGCU